AUACCUUUCUCGGCCUUUUGGCUAAGAUCAAGUGUAGUAUCUGUUCUUAUCAGUUUAAUAUCUGAUAUGUGGGCCAAUGGUCCACACGAUAUUAAAUUAAUUUUUUAAGGGUGAGAGGCCACCUCAGUAGCUUGCUACUGGGUCUCACGCGCGUCGCCCAUGCGUUGCACUAUAGCAUGGGCCUGGCGCAACCCUC
Molecule: small nuclear RNA, 196 nt
Organism: Humulus lupulus (European hop)
Lineage: Eukaryota; Viridiplantae; Streptophyta; Magnoliopsida; Rosales; Cannabaceae
Product: U2 spliceosomal RNA
Exons: 1
Source: RefSeq, a predicted model, not a curated record